RNAcentral lists this transfer RNA (69 nucleotides) under Heterocephalus glaber (naked mole-rat). It matches the Rfam family "tRNA". From Rfam's summary of the family: Transfer RNA (tRNA) molecules are approximately 80 nucleotides in length. Their secondary structure includes four short double-helical elements and three loops (D, anti-codon, and T loops). The record is from Rfam by way of RNAcentral. Lineage: Eukaryota; Metazoa; Chordata; Mammalia; Rodentia; Bathyergidae.
GGGAAUGUAGCUCAGUGGCACAGCACCUGCCUGGCAAGCGCGAGGCCCUGAGUUCAAUUCCCAGUACCA